UCUUUUUUUUGUUUGUUAAGUUUUUAACUAUUGAAUGUGUUGUUUAUUGCCAAUCAUGUGCACCGCCAGAUCUACAAAUCUAGUUUUGAAAAUUUGAAAAAAAUAAAAAUACAAAAUAUACAUGAUUGCCUUUGAUUUGUUAAAAAAAAAUUGUAGGGGCAAAAUAGAUAGUUAGAGAGUAGAAGCACAAAAAUCUGAAUUUUAUUUGUUAAGAUAAUUUAACUAAUGACUUUGCGGAAAUAUGAGAUAAGAGUGCAGAUUCGAAAUAUCAUAUUCUACUUAUUUAUUUUUAAAUGGUAAAUUUUAGUCAUUAAAUUAUUUUUCAAAAUAAUACUAUUUUUUUUAAAUUACUUAAAAACAUUUCAUCUUUCUAUCUGCAUGUCUAUCUUUCCAUUAAAAAAUUUCUUGUUGUCAUUUUUUUAAAAAUUUUAAAUGUGUCGUUAAUGUUAUGGAGCUUGGAUGGAAGAGACAAAAGGAAUUGGCGAGGAAUAAUUUUGGAAUUUGCUAUCAAUCAUUAAUAAGUCAUUAGUGUCAAUCAAAGAAAAGAAAGAGAAAGAACUCAAUGUGUGACUAUAUGAUUUGUGCAAUUAUAUUCUUUAUCUAGACCAACUAUAUAUCUUUAAAAUGGAAAAGACACUCUAUUUGUGGCUAUCACUUUCUUUUAAUUUAUGAAACUAAAUUUUGGAGAAGGUCGAACUUAGGCGCUUGCCACCUAUGCCACAACAAUUUUGUUAAUAAAAUUUGUCAAACAUAAAUAUACGUUAUGUUCUUUUUGGAACAAUAGAAUGUCGAAACUUAAUGAAAAGAUAUUACAUAGAAAUCAAUUUAGAAGAAUAGACUCUAAUACAAUCAACUAAUAAAAAGGAGAGAUUUUAACAAAAACUUGCUUAUAAAACAUCAAAAUAGGAUUUAGAUCACAUUCCAUGUUGAGAAGUGUAUAUGUGAAAGAAUUUGACUCACGGUAAAUAUGAAAAAUCCACACCCUCCAAUCUAGCUUGACAAAUUAUUAAUUUUGUUGUGCCAACCACAUUCUAAUUAUACUAUCCUGUCCAUGAUGCAAAAUAUUUUGAACAACUUCUUUGGAAUCUAUAUAUAGCGCAAUAGCUCGAACUCAAACUCUUUUGUUAAUCUUAGUCCUUCUAGCACAUCCAAAAGUUCAACAAUAUAUAUGCACUACAAGAAUCUAAAUAUCUUACAAAACCUUCAAGUCACUCACCCGUACAACCUCUUAAAUAACCACCACAUUCAACUUUCAAGUUAUUCUUACUAGCUUUAUCCGUGUUCAAUCUCACCUAACCCAAAGGAGGAGGAGUCCACCUUAUUUUCUUAGCCUCUCAAAUCAACUUUAUUUUACUACCAUGUAGCUCCGCUACCCAAGAAAAUACUCAUGAGCAACUUUAGUAACAUGCCGCCAUAUAAUUCUAGGUCUCCAAAACAAUUUCAUCACGUCGUUCCUUAUUCUUCCAUAUCCAAAGUGCAGGGAAAGAGGUUGCUCAAAGUUUCAACCACGACGAAUCUCCACUAAUACCAAAAUCCAAACGCAAAUAAGUAUCCAACCACUACUUAAUAUUACUAGUGAAAAAAUAAUCUCUCAUAUUCAACUUAACCACAUUAGUCCAAAUAACAAAUGGUAAAUGACAAUCACAUAAGACAUGUAUAAUGGGUUCCACUUAUGUCCCAUAGUGACUACAAAAAGGUCCUCUUAAUUGCAUUUUAUUUUCUAUCUCAUUGGUCAUUAUCCUACCAUGAUACACAUACUAAAUAAAGGACCUUAUUCGUUCAGAUACUUUAAGCUUCCAUAUCGACCUCCAACUAUCCUCAAUAUUUUGCCUACCAAAAUUAGUCAUUAAUUUAUAACUUGAUGAAACAAUAUACUCAACUUUUUUAUCGUUUGGCCAACAACAAAUAUAUCUUAAACUAUUACCAUCAAGAGGGAGAAUAGCUAGAAUUUUAGUUACCAUAUUUUUGGGAAACAUAUGCUUUAAAAUAUCCAUAUUCUACUUAUCAUUUUGAUCUAAUAUGUCCUCUAAAUUGUGAUAAGAAGUUGUAUUAACACCAAUUGUAUUAAUAUUCAUCAACUUCAUACACGGUUCAACUCAACAAUGAGACCAAACAUCUGUAUUGGCAAUAUCUCUUAUAGAUAAAUAUGCAAAUUGAGCAAACUUAGGCCAUAAGUUACCAAGAUUCUUCCACAAACUUGAAUCAUUUGCCUUAAUAAUCACAUCCUUAUAAUCAACAUUGUUCUUCAUAUAUUCGCCCCACAUAAAUUCAAAACAAAGAGAUUGUUCAUUACCAUGAAUAGCCCAACUAAGCUUCAAAAGACAAAAAUUAUUCAUAACAUCCAAUCGUCUAAUACUUAACCCUCUUAAGAACUUUGGCAACAUCAUUACAUCUUACUUCACCGAAUGAACUCUUCUAUGCUCCUCGCUAUCACCCUAGAUAAAACAAAACUAUAACUUUUGAAUCUCAUGCAAACAAGCUGUAUAAAUGCUAGUAGUCAUCAUAAUAUAGGUUGGAAGAGCUUCAAUAACAACUUUAGAGAUAUUUACCCGACCUGCAAAAGAAAGAUGUCAAGUUUUUCAAAUGACAAACUUUGACUUAACUUGCUUUAGGAUAUAAUUAAAAUCAGAUCUUCUUGGUGCACUUCUAACGAGAGGGACACCCAACUAUUUUCCAAGUGAUUGUGUUUUACAGAAGCCAGACAUAACAUCCAAUUUACGACGAAUAGACACAUGAGUGUCUCUAUAAAAAAAAAUGCUUGUGUUUACCAAUAAUCACUUGCUAACCAAACAAAAGGAAACAUUGAUUAACAAUACCGAGCAUAUUGAAUUUAAACCCAUGUAGCUUGACAAAAAAAUAUAAGAUCAUCUACAAAUAUCAAGCGAGAUAUGAAAGGACAAUUUCUACCCGCCUUCAUAGUUUUCCAAAAGUGUUGCUCCACACAAUGAGAAAUAAGAUGAGACAAUUUAUCAAUGCAAGCAACUAAGAGGUACUAAGAAAUAGGGUCUCCUUGUCUGAUACCUAUUUCCAAGUUUGCAACCGUUUUAUCGGUUAGAACAAGAUUUGAUUCUGCAUCAGACCUUUAAUUUUAAUGAUAACAAUGCAUUGUUUCUUAGAGAAUAAUUUUGUACACUAAUGAUUCUCAUCUAGUGUGUAGUUUUUAAUAACAUGUUUUGACUCUGAAGUAAUGACAUGUGACAUUAUCAGAUUCUGGAAUCAACACACUCUGACUCCGAGAAGAUUCAAGUUCUUUACAAGAUGUUGUCAAGUUCUAUAAAGCUCUUAGACAACGGUUGUAAGGAACGUUCAUGUUAAAGCUUCUGAAUGUGACUAUGAUUGAAGAGCCUCCGAAGGUUUGUUUGUCUUAAAGAUUAUGUGCUCAAAUUUUGAAGAUUUUGAAGAACAAGAUCUGAAGACUCUGAAGACCAGGUUCUGAGGAACUCUGUCAAGACUUUGAAGACCAAAGUUCUGAAGAUUAUGUCAACUUGUCUCUUGAUCCUUCUAAGCAUGCUUCAACAUCAUUUCAUUAUAAGCCUAUGAAGAUUAGAAGAUAAGAUCAAAAGGUUUUGCGUCAGGAAAAUAGUACACAAUACAAGAUCGCCAUUUCCUCCACUACUAUGAUUUUUUGGGCUAAGGACAAUAUUAUUGUACCAUUUUGUCUCACAUGUGCAAACCGUAAUGAAAAGAGACAACUGCAAUUCAAUAUUUCAAUUCUACCCUCCAACGGUUCUUUUAUAUGCCUAUAUAAAGGAUACUUGAAGAUUGGAAGAAUCUGCUAAUUCACUGCACUCAUAACAACACUACUACACACGCUCUUGUUGAAAUCAUAUUAUUUCUGAGUAUAGUUUUUGUAAAUACACAAGAGUUUUUACUCGUUAUUGUGUGAGAAAUAUUUGUAUUAACUUGUUAUAUAUUAAUAUAAAUAUAUUAUUAAUAUUUAUAAAUUAUGAAUUUUUAAUAAAAAAUUAUAUUUAAACAUAAAUUCAUAGUAUUUUUUCAUGGAUUUCAGAUCAACUGUUUUUUUGUCAAUAAUAUAUAUAUAUAUUAUAUAUAUAUAUAUAUAUAUAUAUAAUUUUUUGUAGUAUACUAUAGUGUUUAUUAAUGUUAUGUAAAAAUAUAUAGUAUACUAAGGUAAGUAAGUAAUUAAUAUUCAUAAAUUAAUUAUAUAACAGAAAAUAAACUAAAUUUAUUAUAUAUCUUUUUGGUUAUCAAAAUCACUGAAUUUGUAGUGACGUGCAACAAUUGUGACCCAGAAACCGCAACAGUGAUUGUGAUGAUGAAACAAUAUAAAAUUCAAGGCGACCGUUCAAUAGUGUUCAUUUUGUAGUAAUGCGCAAGUCUGGCAUUAACAUCUCUCCUACCAUCAAUUUGGUUCAAUUCAUCUAAAAUAAUAUACACUAAUAAAUAGAAGUAUAAGAGGAUCAUAAUAUAGUAGUGAUAUCAAGAUGGAUUUCUACAAUGGAAACGUUGAUGAACGAUCUAUACGGUGGAAUCAGAAAAUUUUGUGUUGGAAGACUCAAAGAAUAUGAUUUGCUAACAAAAUCUCUUUAUGGACUAAAACAUGUGUCUCGUUAGUGAUACCACAAGUUUCAUGAAGUAACUCUCCUAUUUAGCUUUGAGGUGAAUCUUGUUGAAGAUUGUACGUAUUACAAAUUUAGUGGGAGGAAGUAUAUUUUCUUAGUCCUAUAUGUUAAUGACAUAUUGCUUACCUCCAAUGAUAUAGACAUGAUGUACGAAAUCAAGAAAUUUCUAUCAAGAACAUUCAAAAUAAAAGAUCUUGGUGAUACCUCUUUUGUAUUAGGAAUUCAAAUACAUCGAGACCGAUCUCGAGGUAUUCUCGGAUUAUCACAAAUGAUAUAUAUCGAAAAGCUACUUAAAAGGUUUGGCAUGCAAGAAUGUAAAUUAGGGGAUACUCCAAUGGCUAAGGAAGUCAAAUUCCGUCUCAGUUAGUGUCCAAAAGGAAACUUAGAAAUUCAAGAAAUGCAAAAGAUUCUUUAUGUGUCAGCUGUAGGGAGUCUGAUGUAUGAUUAAGUGUGUACGCGUCCGAAUAUUGUGUUCAUAGUUGGGAUGUUAGGCAGAUAUUUGAGCAAUUCAGGAAUGGAUCAUUAGAAAGCGGCCAAAAAUGUUAUGAGGUAUUUAAAGAGAACAAAAAACUAUAUGCUCACAUAUAUGAGGUCAUACCUCCUAGAGAUCACUAGACACUCUGGCUCAGAUUUUGCUAGAUGCUAAAAUAGUAAAAGAUCCACUUCAGGCUAUAUCUACAUGUUGGUUGGUGGUGCAAUUUCUUGGCGUAGUGCUAAGAAAAUCCUUACGGCUUCAUCCACCAUGGCAACAUAGUUUAUAACAUGUUAUGAGGCUCCCAACCAUGGGAUUUGGCUGAGGAAUCUUGUCAUUGGACUGCAAAUUAUGGAAGGAAUUGAAAGACCACUUAAGUUAUACUAUGACAACAAAUCAACCGUCAUGUAUUCUAACAAUAAUAGUAGCUCCACCAAGUCCAAACAUAUUGACAUCAAGUUUCUAAUUGUUAAAGAAUGGGUACAAAGUGAACAGAUUUCUAUAAAACAAUUGGGUACAAACUCCAUGAUAGUAGAUCCUCUUACAAAAGGUCUCCAUCCAAGGUCUUUCAUGAGCACAUUGCUCACAUAAGUGUUUUAUCGGUAGAGGAUGACACUGACGUCAGCGAAAAAGUUUGAAGAGUGUCGAAAAUACUUUUAAAAAAUGUCACCUUUCUUUUUUGGAUUCAAAAUCGAAAUAUGACAUUUUGGGGAGCAAUUUGUUACCUCAGAUUUUCGAGACAAGCAUUAAUUAUUAAAAAUGAGAUAAGUUUUACGUGAUAAUGAGUUUAUUGCUAAAAAUCAAAGUGGUCAGUUACGAUCAUGGAAAGCUUGACGAAUUUGAUUUAUCGAGAAACAUGUAUCAACUUUGGCCGUAUUGUAAUCAGUCAGAGACCAUGAAGUUUAUUAGUUUUAGGACUUAGUGAAAUUCAGAGUACCCAAAUAUUUUUUCUAAGCAGUCGAAUGAGGUGUAAGAGGAUAAGAUCAGACAACUAUUUGAGGACACAUGGGAGCCUGUCAAAGACGGAGGCUGCAUGUAAACGAAAAUGUGGUAUAUUUUGCUUUGUCGACCGUUGUAGACGGUUAACUUAGGACUAAUAUAUAAGUAAGCAUUCACUUAUAUUUUAGGAGUCCGCAAGUGGUAUGAUAGUACUUUGAGUGUAGAAAAGAAAGUCAAUUGGAAGACUUGGUGGAGAUUCUCUUGUUGGUCAAGUCUCUGCCUGAGGUAGAAGACACAUUUGUUUGGUGGAAAGGUUGUCAUAGUUUUUAAGUUAACGGUAGUUAUAAUUUCUUGUUAAAAUUAUACAAUGAGGAGAUUCAUCUGGAAGAAGUGAGAGAGGUCCCAAGCAAGGUUCAAUCUUUGAGCUGGAGGCUCUUGCUCAAUCGACUCCCAACUAAGAUUCAACUUGCAAGAAGAGAGGUUCUUGAAGAUAGUCACAACUUGGUGCACCCUUUAUGCUUAAUUAAAGAAUAAGAUGAAACUCAUAUUUUCAUGGGUUGCUUAGUAAAUAAGUUUGUUUAGAAGAAGGUUAACGACUAUAUCGAAAUUGCAAAAGUGAAAGAAGCAUAACAUUAUUUCUUCCCAUUUAGUCCAAUUUUGCUCAUUGAUCAAAAAAGAAUUUUUUAGAAAAAUUUAAUUGCUUAUUUUGGUCGGUUGUUUUGUUGGAUUCUUUGAUCUUGUAUAAAUAAUAUUUUAUUUAAAAGAGCUCUCUUGUAUGAGUGGACACUGGUAGGAGUAUCAAGCUUCUAUAAUAUGAAUGAUCUCAAGUCAAUUUCAAAAGUUCUCUUUGUUGGGUUAAAUGGUAUAUUAAUCUAAGUCCCACAUCGGGUAGUAGGAAGAAAAUAGAAAUUGAGUAUUAAUAUAAAUAGAGAUAGUUGAUUUUAGUUUUCUAUCAACAACAAAAUGUAGUCUUUCGGUGUGUAUUGAGGAUUUGGGUAGUUGUGUGUUUAUGGAGGGUUUUCUAUUCAAAAAUAGUCCGUUGAGAGGGUUUUUAUUUUUUCGUUCAAAAAAUAGUUUGUUGAGUAAAAAUUACAAGUUUAAUUUUUGCUUAUUUUUCUUUUUUGUGGGUAUAUUUUUGCAUGCGUAAAAAAAUUCUGAUCAAGGGAGGAAGAAGAUAAAAAAAAACUGAAGAGUAUAAAUAAAGAUAGUUUAUUUUAGUUUUCUACACAACAAUCAAAUGCAGUCUUUUAAGUGUAUUUGAAGAUUUUGGUAGUUGUGUGUUUAGAGAGGGUUUUUUAUUUUUCUUUUCAAAAAUUAUUUGUUAAGAGGGUUUUUUUAUUUUUUCUUUCAAAAAUAGUUUGUUGAGAGGGUUUGCAAUUUUCCAUCCCAAAAUUAUAGUUGAGAGAAGAUUUGCAAUUUUUUCGUCCAAAAAUUGUAAUGGAGAGAGGGCUUAUAAUUUUUCCGUUCAAAAAUUGUAAAUGAGAGAGGGUUUGUAAAUUUCUCCUUAAAAAUUGCAAUUGUAUGAGAGAGUUUAUAAUUUUGUCAUUGUAAAAAUUACAAGUUGAAUUAUGAUUUUAAGAGUUUUUGCUUUUUUUUGUCGGUAUGCUUUUGCGUGCGUAAUUAGGCGGAUUAGAAAUCCAAUUUGGGGAGUUGUUUAUCUUGCAAGUUUAUCUCCUAUCUUUCUAUUUCUAUUGUGGAUGUAUCUCUUAGGUGUUGUCCCUAAAAUAAGGGUUGAACACCCUUUAUACUCUUUUUUAGUAGAAAUCAAUAUCCUCAUCGCGCAACUGCAUAUAUUAAUCUCUCGAGCUGAAUAUUAAUCUCUCGAGUCGAGGAAGACCACAACAAACGAUAAAACUCUCCCUCAAGAGAUUUAACAUUGUUGCGUGUCCAAUGUGUCCAAUGUUGAGUUUGAACCAAAAAUCUCUUGUUUAACUAAAAGAGACCAUUAUCAUGUCAUUCAAAUUCUCUUGCAUACCCUUUUAUUCCUUUUAAUUCAAUUCUCCUUCGCUUAUAAAAAACACUUUCUCUUUCUCUUGAAUAAUUUACCCUAAUAUAUUGCCCACACUUCAUAUUUAUUUUCUCAUUCUUUGUGUGAAUAAUGACUAAGUUGGUCAUAUAUAUAUAUUUCCCGACAACAAUGUAUAAUUCAUUCAUUAAAAGACAAAAGGUUAGUACAAAUGAUAUAAGCUAAAGAUUCAUAGACCUUUCCUACUAGACUAUGCGCAGCCUAUUUUACAAAGACUAUGACAACAAUAUUCAGACACAAUGCAACUAAGUUAGAUUCAAUUAUUGCGAGAAUUACUUGUCAAAUUGAUUAACUCCCCUGUAAAAUGUGAGACAGCAACAGCUAUGACACUUGUCAAGUCUCAAAACUCUUCUGAAUUUUUACAAAUAUCCUUUAGAUUUUAGGAUCUGGAUCUUGUUUUUGAAUCCCGACGUUGUGUGAAUCACUAAUGAACAUUAAAAUAAACAUUCGGUUAAAUCAAAUUAUGAAUCAACAUUAGUGAAAAUACAUCUAUAUAAAUUUAAAACAUCAAUGAAUCUAACUGAUCGUUCAAAUCACAAUAACAUUAACAUUAACAUUAAUUCUAAACAAGUGAAAGUCUGCUGCUUGUAAUAAAUUGUAGUUAGAUAGGAGUUUAUUUUUAUUCACUACAACAAACAAGACCUUAGACAGCGCUUUUUUUAGCCUUAGACAGCGCUUUAAAGCGCUGUCUAAACCUCCGCUGUUAAAGGUUUAGACAGCGCUUUUUUAAAUCUUAAAAGCGCUGUCUAAGCCCCCCCCCUUAGACAGCGCUUUGGCCAAAAGCGCUUUAAGACCCUCUUAUUUUAAAUUUUUAGGUAUACCUUAGACAGCGCUUUUGAAAAGCGCUGUCUAAGCCCCACCCCCUUAGACAGCGCUUUGGCCAAAAGCGCUUUCUAAGACCCUCCUAUUUAAUUUUUUUAGGUAUACCUUAGACAACGCUUUUCAAAAGCGCUGUCUAAGCCCCCCCCUUAGACAGCGCUUUUGCCUAAAGCGCUUUCUAAUCCCCCUUAGACAGCGCUUUUACAAAAGCGCUGUCUAAGGUAUACGAAAAUUUUUGAAGCUUUUGUUUUAAACCGCAUUUUUUCCAGGUUUAUAACCAGAAUUUCUACCUGUUUCAACCAGAUUUUGACAGACAAUUAUCACAUUUUAUAUAUGCCAUUUUGACCUUUUUUCUACCAAUUUUGGCUAACAAAUAUAUAUAUAUAUACCAAUUCAAACCAAUACAAAAUUACUAAUAUAUUAAAACUACAAAAAUAACUCUAAUCAAAACUACUAAAGUUACAGUAACUAGAUGCACUGUGGUUGCCUCGUUUAUAUCAUUUAAUUCUACCAUCGCAUGCAUGCAUGUCGCAUCCUGCGAAAAAUCAACCGGCGAGCUAAAAUAAAAACACACAGAGCCGCCACUGCGCGGUUAUUUAUCCCUGGAUAGGGAAAGGAAACGCUCAGAGAAACCUGGAAAGAACAUGGUCUCGCGACCAAAGAGAAAGGGUAAGGGAGUCGGUUACGCAAGGGGAAGGUAUUAGCACCCUCACGUCCGUCGUACUCGACGGGAUCCACGUCCUAGAAUAAAGAAUAGGUGCAAACAUCACACACACACACGGGGAACGCAGGUGGGUUUAGGAGAAGGGAGCUCGAUAAGGUAUCGCACCUUAUGCCUACAUAUCUUGUCUGGAACAAGAAUCAGAGCCACUGUAGUUCGGCUUACGCACGCCAAACAACACAAAACACACAAACAGACAAGGGGGCAAACAUGGAGCCCGACAACCACUGGAUGGAAUUACGUCAGCAUCCGAACCAAAACGCACUCAAAAGGGCAAACGUGGAGCCCGACUGCCAAUCACUGGCUUACGUCGGCAUCCGAACCAAAACACACAAUCAGAUAACAAGUAAACGCACGCAAAAGAAAAGGUUGCCCGGAGAGGUCUCGCACGACCCCCUGCCCUACAUACCUCGUCUGGAACGAGGAUCAGGGCGAUGUAGUUCCCCUGAAAGGGAAAAAGAUUUCAGCCAAAAACCGGGGGAAGACGCACUACCAGGGAGCUGGACUCGAGCCUAGUGUUGUCAUGCAUCGUUACCUAAGUUCAGUUUUCUAUCCUACUUACAUAAGCAAACUAUUCCUAUCCAGGAAAGAAGCAAGCACACAAGCAUACAAAAUAAUUCAAGCAUACAUCAAAUGAGAACAAGCAUCUCAAACAAGCAUGUCAAUCAGAUAUCCACAUAGCACGCACUAUAAACCAAACAAGUGGCUCACACAAUAGGUUGACUGCCUCAGCAAGUCGUCUGUACGGGCUGUGUGUGCUCUUAACCUUGCAUUACGAGGCUAAGGUGAACAGAUGAAAGGAUGAAGUGAGGAUCAGACCUCACAGCUCUUAUCCCUAACCAGGGAGAGCUUCUGACAAAUGAGCAUGGGUCCAGAAUGGGGGAACCCUUCUAUACCAGAGACUCUGGCACAAUGUGCACUGCACGGAUCUUGGGCUUGUAAUCUCAAUGCUACAACCAUGUAAUGGGAGCAGGAGAAGACUCACAGAAUAGUGGGGGAUAGAUUGCUUAUCCUAACUUCCACCAAUUCCUUAUUUAAAGGACUUUCACCUGCUUGGCACGAAAUAAAACAACCACAAUCAUUGCCUCUUAAGGAGGACUUCAGACAGUUUGCCCGUCAAAUAACAGACCGGGUCUCCAGACUACAGAAGUCAAGAGGACCUACCUCAAGCGCGUUUACCCAACCAGCAGCAGCUACCAAGCAAGUUCUUAAAAGAACUAGAAGCGGCUAAAGGUACCUGUACAAAAAGCUAACCAAUUAGCAACUCAGACAAACAGUCAGAAAACAACAAGUGUUCAACCAAUCAGACUAUACAAACUAAUGCACAACAAAGCAAGCUCAAAAACUCAAGCCCAAGCUUCACAACCUACAAAACAAAGUUAUGUUUAGUGUACAAACAUCAAACAACAUCAAUUGCAUUUAACUUGAUUCAUUCUCCAUGUGCAUUGGCUAUUCAUCCUGAAAAAUCAAGCAAACAUUAGCAACAGACCACUAGGCCAAGCUAGGGUCCAAAGGCAAGAAAAAUUCCUAAACAGCAAGGUAUCUCUAACCAAACUCAAAUUAUGUCAAACAAAAGCCAACACAAUUAAUCCCAUGGCCUAUCAUUCAUCAUGUUCAUUUUAUGCACAAAACAAAUCAAACUAGUUCAAAUGGAACACAAAACAUCCAAACAGAAACUAUUGCAUUCAAAUCCAUAUCAAAACAAAUCAAAAAAAUCUCCAAUAAAUUACACCUAAACAGGGUCUAUUCAAGGUAUGGCACACCAAAUUUCAGCUUAAUUGGGCAAAGGAACACCAUUGUCAAUGAAAAUCAACAAAAACGACACAAUUAUAUGCUCCAAAUCACAACAUCAACACAUGCUUCCAUUUCAAAAUUCAUAACUCAAUGAAAACAGUAAAGAAAAGGAUGGGACCAAAGCAGGAUGUCACAUCAUGUGUCUACAACUAUCAUACCAAAUUCAUAAAGCAUUCAACCACCAUAUGAGCAUGUUUCCACAAGGAUAUUUCAAACACAUGUCACACAAGCUGCACAUUGACCAACAGAGAUGAAAAAUAGCAAUCCAAAUUGAAAAUGCCACAUCUCUNNNNNNNNNNNNNNNNNNNNNNNNNCAGUAACUAUUUGCCAUUCAAAUCCAUAUCAAAACAAAUCCAAAAAAAUCUCAAAAAAAUUACACCUAAACGGGGUCUAUUCAAGGUAUGCACACCAAAUUUCAGCUUAAUUGGGCAAAGGAAACCAUGUCAAUGAAAAUCAACAAAAACAGACACAAUUAUAUGCUCCAAAUCACAACAUCAACACAUGCUUCCAUUUCAAAAAUUCAUAACUCAAUGAAAACAGUAAAGAAAUGGAUGGGACCAAAGCAGUGAUGUCACAUCAUGUGUCUACAACUAUCAUACCAAAUUUCAAAAGCAUUCAACACCAUAUGAGCAUUCAAAGGAUAUUUCAAACACAUGUCACACAAGCUUGCACAUUUGACCAACAGAGAUGAAAAAUAGCAAUCAAAUUGAAAAUGCCACAUAAAAUUCCACAAAAAUUCACAUAGCAUCUUAACAUGUUAAUGAACAUCCAUGCAAAAUUCACAUCAUUUCACCAAGUAUAGGUCACUCAAAUAAAUCCAGCAAGUUGACAUAAUGAGGUGUGACCACAGUUGUCACACCUAAGUUCCAAAAUUCAUAACUCAAUGACCAGGUAUCAAAAUUCAUGAAAUUACAUGGAAAAAGCCUCAACCAGUCCACAUUUACCACAAAAAAAUUUUCAGAAUUUAUUGUAGCUGAGAAUUUCACAUUUGGAUUUGGCACAAUAUCCAAAAUGUGCAAUGUUAAAGAAACCCAGGUCAAACAUAAUGUUCUACCAGCACAACUUAACCAAUAGGUCAAAAAAAUCGUAGAGUCAAAAAGGAAGUCAAAAGAAAAAAUGGCCUAUGAUUUUAUGAAUUUUCUAUGAAUUUUUGGUGAAUUUUCUAAGUCAGGGUGAUUUUUUAACAAUUGAGAUUAAUUAGAAAUUGGAAUUUACAAUGGCAGAGUGGUAAUACAGUGCGCGGGGGAGGGAAACCCUAAUCAAAAAUUUCCCCAAACCAGAUUUGGGAUCAAACAUCACUCUCCUUGUCAAUAAUUUUGUCCAGAAAUUACUAAGAACCGCAUGAACACGCGAAAUCCAAACGACACGCAAAAAUGAGCAUGCGAAUAACCGAUAGGACCGUGGCUGAACAUGUAGAAGCUAAUAGAGCUUAUUAAGCCUAACCUGUUCCUCUAUUUUUCUCCAAUCGAUCGGACCUAGGCGUUGUUGUCCUUAGAAACUGCAAAUCAGGAUAACUUCCCUCAGGUUAUCAUUUCACAAACCAAUCAUACCACCAUAUCUACAGUCCACGAAACUGAUAAACCGGCAUGGAUAAUUAAAGAAACGGUAAAACUGCGAAUUCUGACCUUGAUCUUUGAAAGACAUGUGUUGAUUUUGAGUUUCAGUCGUUUUGAUCCAAAACAGCAGCAGGACAGCUCCAGGGAAGUGAAUGCUAGCCUCAGGGCUGAAUCGAUGUUCUAUCCUCCUAGCGCGCAAACUGAUUCACCAUUGAUGAUGCAAUUGUUGGAACAGUGUACGGAUUUACCACGGUCCGUUUCCGUUCCAAUCUCACCCAUCAAAAAGAUUGAGAUGAUCUGAUGAGAGGAGUUCAAAUUAAAAAGAAAUCGCAGAUGUGACAAGGAUUUGGAGGAAGAGUGGUAGUUUUAGGGUUUGGGUGUUAUUGAGGAAUUUUGAUGAGAAUAGAAGCGUUGUCAGAUCUGGGUUUUGGAAUGGGGUAAUUCUGUGAAUUAGAUGAUGAAUUAGGAAUAGAUAUCCCUUGCUUAAUCCCAGCUUAAUUACACCAGUAACCAAAUGGAAAUUGAUGAGUGACAAUGGUUUCAAUUUCUCAAAGCAAAGGUGCAAAAGUGUAACAUGCAUAUGCCAGCUCAUUGCCCCGUAUGGACAGCGCACACACUCUCAAAAUGGACAGUGUGAGCUGUGGCAAACUUGUUUCACUACCUCCAUUUGGGAUGAGUAUUGUUUGGGAAAAUUUCACUAUUGUGAUGGUCACUUUGUCCAUUUUUGCAUUUCAUUUUAAGUCCAAUUGCCAAACCACAAGGCCUAGGCAGGUUAAGGAUGAAGUUCCAACAAAAGUUCACAAUACAUUUAUGAGGUGUGUGCAAAAAAUCCCACUCAAAAAGUCUCAAUUAUUUCACAAGUUGGACAAUUGGGCCCCUGGUCAUUAACUGGUUACAGUGAAAUUUGACAUUUUUGCAUGUGACCAUUUUUGCGACAAACCAAUUCACCUGCACCAUGAACAGUACCAAAUGGGUCUAAAUGAGUCGUGCUGGCAUAUAAAGUAACCCCAUGAAUGCAAACCUAAGGACCAAACACAUGGUGGAGAGUUAAUGGGGGACACCGGUACCUUGCAAUUGGGUCAUUUUUGAAUUGUUCACGAGCCAUAAUGAUCCAACCAUACAUGGGAUUUUCAAGUUCUUGGACUUUUUGGAAAGGUGAGAACAAGAUCUACAACUUUCAUGUUGAACAAUUUUCAUUUGAAGCUUCCUUAGACACGUGGCUUUGAGGUCCAAAACUUUCCAUUUUUUGGAAACUUCAAUUACAAGGCACUUUUCUAUUUUUGUGUAGUUCGUGUCCUGACUUGAUGUUCUUCAUUUUAAGCUUUGAGAUUCAUAUAACACUGUUCCAACAUGAAUGAAGUGUAUCCAACUCAUGUUCACCUCCAAAUCCAUCAAAUCAUGAACAGUUGACCACAGUUGACUUUUUCAUCUGAUAGAUGAAUUGGGCAUACAUAGAUCAAUCUGAGCCCCAAUCUUCAACUGAAAUGGCUCAAGGGUGAAACCCUAGCCUCAAUAAGCUCAAAAUAAUCAUAGAAUGAACCCCAUAACCAUCACAAACCCCAUCUCCUGAUCAUGCCCGGCUGGCCCACUGCCAACUGAUAGGGUUGACCAGUGGUCAAAACCCUAAUCUCAAGGGAUCUGCUUCAACACUUGAUUCUUCUGAUGAUAACCAACCAUGAUGAUGAUGAUGUAUCAUUGCAAUCAAGAUGAAGACCACCAUCCAUUGAGAAUCAUGAAACCCUAAUUUGUAGCCCAAUCCUCAGAUGGCCAAUGAUCAGUCAAUAAACCCUAGGCUUGCCUUGACUUCCUCAUCUUCUGAUAAGAUUGAGAGGAUAGCUUGCACAACGUAACCACAUGAUAUGCCAAUAUGAAAUUCCUAAUGACCUAAAAAUGUAUGCAAUAUGUUAAUACUAGUCCCAAGAGAGGAGGGCAAAUUUUGAGGUGUUACAAUGCAUAUCUAAACAAGGCAGGGGUUGCUAUCGUUCUGUAAUACUUUAUAAAUAAUUAAGAAACUGAAUUGUUUUUUUUUUUACUGGAUUGUUCUUCAGCAGGUGCUGUUAUGCAUAUAACUAACUGUCUACGUCAAUGACACAUCUCACACGAGCAUUCUAAAAGAUAUUAAAUUAUAUAUGAAGAUGAAUUCAAAACAGGUAACCAGGACAAUUCCUCUUUAUUAAUUCUCAAUGCAUACGAUAUGGUCAUCUAUUUCUUCCUCUGGUGGGGCAUCAGAUAUGUCUGCAAUCUUAUGAAUACAAAAAUCAAAAUCUGAGAACCUAAGCGCUUCUCAUUCAGAUAUUAAUUGUAUACUUGUUCCAUGAUUCCAUGAUGAUGAUGGUAAAGACGACUUUAAUCCAUAUAGACUCAAUAUAUCUCUUUCUAAUUUUGUAUUUUUGAGAAUCCUUUUUUGAUGGUUAUCAAUAUAAAAACUAUUAUGAAAAAAAUAGUUUUUCAUGUAGAAUAACAUGUGUGACUUCCGUCAAAUUCCACUAUUUUUAUGUUAAUGAUACCUUUACAAUACAUAUUUUCCUUUAGAAAUGUAUUUAUACCCUCUCGCAAUAACACAUUUUUCACUUUAAAUCACUUCAGAUGAGUUAUAUUUUAUCUAUUUAUUAUUGUGACACACCACAAAAAUUGUUAUAAGAAAAUUCCAAAACCUAUAAAAAACUAAUGGUACAUAAAUCGAUUAAAUGAAUGACUCUGUACCAAUUAUUAGGACAAGAUGGAGGAGAAAUUUCAAUUGCUAAAUCAUUUUCUUCGGGUUUCUACACUUGGCCACCCUUAUCAGCUUGCAAUUGACAAACUCAGCCAAUAUCUUGAUAUCUUCAUCUUCCAAACGAGCUCCAAUGUACACUGCCCUCGAGGCAUGCAUUCUUUUACCAAAUCCCUGCAUGAAAAUUGAAGCCCUAAACAUAAACUAUGAAGAAUGAAGAAUAAAUCAUAAAGAAAAAGCUAAUUUUCUAAAUUCUCAAGUCUAUACAAUUACAAUAUAUCUCAUCGCAUUCUUCCUUGCCAUAGUAUGUGACGCGGUAGAUUCUUCUUCUGUAUCAACUCCAUUUCUGUACAGCAACAUCAGAAGAAAGAAACAUUGAUUCACGCCUUCACUUUAGGGCAGAGAGCAAUUCACAAUGAGAGUUCUGAGGUUCUUUACCUUUGUAAAUCCUUGUGUGAUAGAUGUUGAUCCCUGUUAGAAAAUAAAAAUCAAUUUUGUGUUUGCUAGAACAUAAGAAAAGUUAUGUGAAGAGGAUGAUAUGCUUACUGGUUGUAUAAAUGUUUUCCACCUGCAUCGUGACAUCCAAUACAUGUUUGACGGAAACAAUGAGGCUCCUCUUAGGAUAUCUAGGGUUUGGGCACUUGAAACUGUAGAACAAGAAAAGUGAUUGGCAAUUUGGAUGGGAGCGAGUAGUGCAAUUUGAAUAGAGACGCAGGGGCAAUUUAGUAUUUUAGACAGGAGCAAACCUGGAGUGACGCAAAUUGGAGAAAAAAGCAAGAAUGCAGCAGCAAGAGAGGGAGCCAGGUGGUUGAAAAACUUGACUUGGUUUGUCUUUGUAGGAAUGGGCUUCAACUGGUUCUUCCUCUGUUGGGAGGGGCAUCAGAUAUGUCUGCAAUCUUAUGAAUAUCAAAAUCAAAAUCAAAAAGUUGAGUAUUGAAAAAUGUCCUACAUGCAUGUUUUAAAUUGCAGUUGUGGAAAUUGUAGUUUUAAUGUUGCUGAGACUUCAACAUCCGCAAUUAUAGUUGUGGAGUGCAAUUUAAACUAAGAUUUGUAUGCACAAGUCUGUAAAAGUUUUAGUUUGUAAAUUACUACACAUACCUAUAACCCCACUCAUUGUCAUACCACGAGACAACUUCACAAAGGACUUACUAAGCCCAAUCCCAGCCUUUGCAUCAAAGAUACUCGACCUGUUAAUAAGAAAUACAUUUAAAUUAAAACGCUUACUUGGCAAACAAACAUGAUCCUAACAACAACAGAAAAAAACUGCGACUAAUAUCAUAAAAGAGCGAGAUAAAUAAAGUUUAGUUUUAAGACAAAUAAAAAUCUGCUUUGAGCAUAUGUAAAUGAAAAUUCAAAAUGUGCAUAAUACCAGAUUUUAGCAUGUAUACUAGAUAAAAAGGCACAAGAGUGUCUGUCCUCUUAAAGAUGCUGAUAGUGAAUCUAAAUUUUGAAAUACAGCAACAUUUACUUACCUUGAAUCACCAACAAAGUCAUUAGAGAACAACUCUCAUCUGUGUAUCCAAGAAUUCCCUCAAUGUCCCUCUGAAGCGUGCCUUCAUUUUUUUUCAGUAGCAAGUAAUAGAAAACCAACGAAUGGUUAGUACAAAACAACUCGACAUGAGAGAAUAUAAGCCGGUCAGAAAAGUAAGAGACAUUACGUUAUUGCUGCUUUAACAUCUUCAUAGGAGGCAUUCUUUUGAAGCCGACAGGUAAGUCCACAACAGAAACAUUAGGAGUAGGAACACGAAAGGCCAUUCCAGUGAGUUUUCCAUUUUUAGCCGGAAGAACUUUUCCAACAGCCUGGAAUUUCACAAAGUGCAAAACUAAUUUAAUAAAUGUAAUUGGUAAGCACAGAAACUCUUAUGGCCAUCCAUCUCUUACCUUUGCAGCACCGGGAGAACUUGGAAUUAUAUUUGAGCUGCACCUCUUCCCCAUCAUUGAUUUCCUGCUGCAAAUCCUUCGGAUCCUUUCAUCAACAGUGCAUCCAACCGAGACACACGCAUAUUAGAUAAGUAAAUCCAUAAACAUUGUUUUUCAUUAACACAUAUCCAUGAAAAACAAUGUUUUAAUGGUGCAUGGAUCAUUUAUAAUUAACUAAUCCAUCCUAAAUGUUAUUACAUCAUAGCACCAUGCUACAUCCUAUCCAUCACAUGUUACAUGUUACAUGGUUUUGAUCAAAAGAUAAAAAAAGGGUUUCUCGCUUUGAAUGGCAGCCUUAACCUAAUGAUUCUUCCAUGCUCCACCUAUCCACUUGCCAUGCCAUGUUAAAUUCCCUUUGGGCCUGCCAAUAAACAUCAAGCAUUCAUCGAUACAUCAUAAUAGUCCCACCUCAAGCAACAACCAUAUCAUUCAACAAUUGCAGAGAAGCUCAACAUUCCAUUCAUCAACAGUGCAUCAACAUAACGAGCAAAUUAGAAAACAACAGUGCAAUAUCAAGAAUCAUUUGGCACAUGGAUAAACAAUAACAACAAUAAAUACAUCUGUUCAUAGAAGUAACAAUCAUUAAAAGAGCUAUCAUUCAACAUAAAAAAUACUAAACUAACAAGAACCCAUCCAAAGUUAACUAACAGUUUGUAACAGAAUAUAGCAGGCAACAUCAUAAUGUAAUUAACAUUUAACAACUCAUUUUCAAACUAACAGUAUAUGUAUCUUCGUUCACAUUUCACUUGAAUUUGAAUUUGAAUUUGAAUUUCGUGACUAACAAAACCAUUUCAUUCUAACUGAAAAUGGAAUUUCAUUUGAAUUCACGUAUCAUUUUCGUAACAGAUUCAAAGCCUUUAAAUUCAUCUCACACUUCACAUUUAAGGGGGUUCACGUUUUUCCAGAAAUACUCUCAACCUCUUUAUUUUUGUUUCCCUCUUAACUCACACACAACACUCCCUCUCCAAUUCAUUCACAGCGAAGAUUCAAUCCCUCACAGUUCUCUCCCAAACUCAUAGUUCUCUCUCAAUUCACCUCUAUCUCCUUCAGCAGAGCCUCUCAAUCCUCUCAAAGCAAACACAAGAGUUCAUAGUAGAAGAAGAGAUCAUAGUGAAAGAAGAAUAAGGAUAUUAAUUUAAUCUUGAAGAGAUGUUUUGGUAGAAGUUACCUGAAGUAACAUAGGGAGUUGAAUAUUCGAGCUUAUUGUCAAUCGCUUUGAAGAGACGUCAGAGCUACUCCGGCCAAUAAGCUCUUUUGCAUUUCUCCUUCAGUUCAUCUUCAACUUGUGCCAAGAUGUAGACCUUAGCCUAGGGAAUUGAUCCCUAAAUGAGGUUGGCAUCAACUUCCUUUCCCUUGCGUUUAAUUUCUGGAAGAUUGAUUUAGGGUUCUUGUGACAUUAGGCUCGAUUUGGUUGAUUGGUUAGGAAUUAGAUGAAAUUGAUGGUGAAGUCGGAUAGAGGACUUUGGAACAAGACAAAUGAUAUAGGUUUUAUAUUGUUUGGCUCUCCCGCCUCCGCCAUAGGCAAUUUCCGGUCUUUUUCGGGGAGAGACCGAGGGACCGAUCUUGGGAGCGAGGGAACUCGCCGCUCCGACUUCACCUCCGGUGACGCGGACGUAAACUUCGACGACUUGGGAUGGGUCGAGCUUGGGAGGCAUUGUGGAGAGUUUUAGGGGAAAUAGGGUUUCACACGGCGAAAUGAAGAAGCAGCCGCAACUAAAUGAAGAAAUGAACAGAUUUUUUUAAUUGAAAGACUUUAAACAGCGCUUUCUCAAAAGCGCUGACUAAGGUCUAUAUUUAAAAGCGCUUCUAAAAGCGCUCUCUAAGGGGGUCUUAGACAGCGCUUUCUAAAAGCGCUGUCUAAGACCCCCCCUUAGACAAGCGCUGGACAGCGCUUUCAUUAUUUUUUUAGAACAUUUUCCGUGUUUUAUUUUUAUUUUAACCUUAGACAGCGCUUUCUUUUAAAAGCGCUGUCUAAGAUGCGCUGUUAAAAAACCUUUUUGGCGUAGUGAUUGGAUACAAAUGAAACAAAUUGAUUUGUACAAAUUGCAGGGCAUUGUAGUAAGGGUGACAAAAAUGACCGUGAUUCGUAGAACUGACCCGAUAAUAUAAAUUGAUUUAUAGAAAUUGUAAGGUAUUGUAGUUGAGUUACAAUUUUGAGUCCAUCCACCCAUUUAAUAUGCCUUACCAAAGUGAAAAAAUCCGCGAACCGAAGACAUUAUGGGGUGGAUUGUUGAAAAAAAAUAUUUAAAAAAUAGCCAAUCUAAAAAAACAAAUGGUCCAAAACUUAAUACAUAUUAUGAUUUUUCUUCUUCUUAUAAAUACUUGUUUUUGGUUGUUUGAGGGUUAAUCCCAAUUAUUAAAAAUUCAAAAUAUUUAUUUUAGUUGGUUAAAUAUUAAUAUUUAAAUUAUAUUUUUGAAACUCGUAUUAAUGAUUUUAGACUUUUAAUUAUCAUUUUAAUUAAUUAUAGUAAUUUCAAUUCUUGAUGGUUUGGUUUUAUAUAUUUAUUUAUUUAUGAAUAUAUGCAAUAUUUUUUUAAAAGUAAAAUCAAUUAAAAAGAUAUUUUAUAGAAAAACAUUCUAAAAAAUAAAUGAAAAUUUUAAUUAUAAUUUUUUUAUUAAACUAUUAAAAAAUAAAAACAAAUGAAUAAAUAAAUAGGUGGACAAGUCCGUCAUCCGCUAAUCCGUCAUUUUGACAGGACAAACUAGAUUUUUAAGUCAAAUUAUGGAUUUUAAAUCCGAUUUUAUUUAACGAAUUUUGCAUAUUCUAUCCCUUUUUUGAUGGGUUCAAGGGUGGACGCGACGACAUGUUUUGUCACUCAAUUGUCCAUCAUGUUUAUAUCUCACAUCAAAAAUCAUGUGUUGAUUAAGUUCAAAUAUUUUAAUCAAAACUUAUAUUUUAUGUGAUUUAGACUAAUUCUAAUUUUAUAAUUAAAAAAUAUAAAAUAAUCCAUUAAUCUUUGUUCAGAUUAUAAAAUCUAAACAAGCUUUAUAUAAAGUAAUUUUAUAAUCCUAAAUAGUCAAACAUAAUAGAACACAUCAUAAAGAGUACAUAUACAUAAUAUGAAAAGAUCCUAAAAUAUAAAUAUAUAUAUAUAUAUAUAUAUAUAUAUAUAUAUAUAUAUAUAUAUAUAUAUAUAUAUAUAUAUAUAUAUAUAUAUAUAUAUAUAUAUAUAUAUAUAUAUAUAUAUAUANNNNNNNNNNNNNNNNNNNNNNNNNNNNNNNNNNNNNNNNNNNNNNNNNNNNNNNNNNNNNNNNNNNNNNNNNNNNNNNNNNNNNNNNNNNNNNNNNNNNNNNNNNNNNNNNNNNNNNNNNNNNNNNNNNNNNNNNNNNNNNNNNNNNNNNNNNNNNNNNNNNNNNNNNNNNNNNNNNNNNNNNNNNNNNNNNNNNNNNNNNNNNNNNNNNNNNNNNNNNNNNNNNNNNNNNNNNNNNNNNNNNNNNNNNNNNNNNNNNNNNNNNNNNNNNNNNNNNNNNNNNNNNNNNNNNNNNNNNNNNNNNNNNNNNNNNNNNNNNNNNNNNNNNNNNNNNNNNNNNNNNNNNNNNNNNNNNNNNNNNNNNNNNNNNNNNNNNNNNNNNNNNNNNNNNNNNNNNNNNNNNNNNNNNNNNNNNNNNNNNNNNNNNNNNNNNNNNNNNNNNNNNNNNNNNNNNNNNNNNNNNNNNNNNNNNNNNNNNNNNNNNNNNNNNNNNNNNNNNNNNNNNNNNNNNNNNNNNNNNNNNNNNNNNNNNNNNNNNNNNNNNNNNNNNNNNNNNNNNNNNNNNNNNNNNNNNNNNNNNNNNNNNNNNNNNNNNNNNNNNNNNNNNNNNNNNNNNNNNNNNNNNNNNNNNNNNNNNNNNNNNNNNNNNNNNNNNNNNNNNNNNNNNNNNNNNNNNNNNNNNNNNNNNNNNNNNNNNNNNNNNNNNNNNNNNNNNNNNNNNNNNNNNNNNNNNNNNNNNNNNNNNNNNNNNNNNNNNNNNNNNNNNNNNNNNNNNNNNNNNUAUAUAUAUAUAUAUAUAUAUAUAUAUAUAUAUAUAUAUAUAUAUAUAUAUAUAUAUAUAUAAUUGAAGUCAUCCACCGUAUUGAUAUUGUGUAAAUGUGGUAAGAUUGAGGUUUCUAGAGAGAUAUUUGAUCAGAUGCUGAUAAGAGUUUGGUUUCUUGGAAUGUUAUGAUUAUGGGUAUAUGAAUUAUUUCUCAUUAGGCAUGAAAGGAGUUUUUGAUAAGUUGGAAUUCAGUGGUAGCUGGAUAUAAGCUUAAUGUGUGUUUUUAUGAAGCUAUGAAGUUGUUUGAAGCAUUGUUGAAGAGGGGAUUGUGCCGAGCAAUGUUACUUUGCCGAGUUUCUGCUGUUUUGGGUUUGGCUGUUCUUGGUAAUGGAAGAUGGUUUGAUGGGUUUAUGGUUAAGAAUGAAAGAGGAGAUUGUGUGUUUUCAAGGCAGUAGUCAACAAGAAAUUGGUGCAUUGGACUGCUAUAAUUGUGGGCUUAGGAAUGCAUAGUUUGGCUAAUGAAGCUCUGGAGCUAUUUACAAAAUGUGCAGAAAUGGGAUGAAACCUCAUGCUAUAAUUUUCAAUGAUGAUAAAUGAGAAUAAAAUUGAGCCCACAGUUGAACACUCGGUUGCCAACCUUGAUUUGUCAAACAGAUGAUAGAAAGUUUGAAUUCUGCAUGAAACUGAGUUUCUGUCUAAGCAUAGUGCUAAAAGGAAGGGUGGUAUAGGUUAUGGGAAAUUAACACAGUCCAAUCAACAUGUUAAACUCAUGCACAAGAGUUUGAUAAAAACAUAUUUCUUUGGAUCCAUAUUUCUAACAUAUAAUCAGCCACAUACAGGUUCUUCUGCUAGAGUAAUUUACAUUGAUGAAAAUGGGAGUUAAACACAACAGAAAUGAAAAUGGGAGCAGAAGAUUGUAGCUGAAGAGACAACAUUCUCAUUGUCCGGGGACAAAGUUAGUAGCAAAAGCCCAUGCGUUGUUCGCGACAGGGUCAGCAACAUGGUCAUAAAGGUUCUGAAUAGGGCCCUUGCCAGUAACAAUGGCUUGAACAAAGAAACCAAACAUGGAGAACAUAGCCAGCCGACCAUUCUUGAGUUCCUUGACCUUCAACUCUGCAAAUGAAUCAG
This 22622-nucleotide long non-coding RNA is filed under the name Lathyrus oleraceus (garden pea). RNAcentral describes it as "Pisum sativum (pea) long non-coding RNA (PSAT_LNC004211)". Lineage: Eukaryota; Viridiplantae; Streptophyta; Magnoliopsida; Fabales; Fabaceae. The record is from RNAcentral.